UCGGCCCCUCGCGACGCUAGGUCGAAAACCCCGCCAGGGCCGGAAGGCAGCAACGGUAUCGAUCGACGCGGGCGCCGAGGUCAGCCGG
This 88-nucleotide signal recognition particle RNA is filed under the name Stenotrophomonas maltophilia. Its description in RNAcentral is "signal recognition particle sRNA small type". It matches the Rfam family "Bacterial small signal recognition particle RNA". Rfam says of the family: The signal recognition particle (SRP) is a universally conserved ribonucleoprotein involved in the co-translational targeting of proteins to membranes. Archaeal SRP consists of a 7S RNA and homologues of the eukaryotic SRP19 and SRP54 proteins. Lineage: Bacteria; Pseudomonadati; Pseudomonadota; Gammaproteobacteria; Lysobacterales; Lysobacteraceae. RNAcentral also lists the same sequence under 5 other names. The record is from RNAcentral.